This 339-nucleotide unclassified non-coding RNA is filed under the name soil metagenome. RNAcentral's name for it is "partial contains 5.8S ribosomal RNA, internal transcribed spacer 2, and large subunit ribosomal RNA". The stretch from base 1 to 120 matches the Rfam family "5.8S ribosomal RNA", at positions 35 to 154 of the family's 154-position model. The record is from RNAcentral.
GAUGAAGAACGCAGCGAAAUGCGAUAAGUAGUGUGAAUUGCAGAAUUCAGUGAAUCAUCGAAUCUUUGAACGCACAUUGCGCCCCUCGGUAUUCCGUGGGGCAUGCCUGUUCGAGCGUCAUUUAACCCCUCAAGCCUAGCUUGGUAUUGGGUGCUUGUCCCGCCUCUCGCGCGGCGACUCACCUCAAAGUCAUUGGCAGCGCGCAUCUCGCCGGCCGUGAGCGCAGCACAGACGCGCUCUUGGCAACGACGGAUCGGCUCUCCAAAAGCUUAUUUCAACCACUGACCUCGGAUCAGGUAGGGAUACCCGCUGAACUUAAGCAUAUCAAUAAGCGGAGGA